Molecule: ribosomal RNA, 474 nt
Filed under: uncultured organism
Description: partial 16S ribosomal RNA
Rfam family: Bacterial small subunit ribosomal RNA
Source: RNAcentral
UACACUCCUGCGGGAGGCAGCAGUGGGGAAUUUUGGCCAAUGGGCGAAAGCCUGAUCCAGCAAUGCCGCGUGAGUGAAGAAGGCCUUCGGGUUGUAAAGCUCUUUUGUCAGGGAAGAAACGGUGAAAGCUAAUAUCUUUUGCUAAUGACGGUACCUGAAGAAUAAGCACCGGCUAACUACGUGCCAGCAGCCGCGGUAAUACGUAGGGUGCAAGCGUUAAUCGGAAUUACUGGGCGUAAAGCGUGCGCAGGCGGUUUUGUAAGUCUGAUGUGAAAUCCCCGGGCUCAACCUGGGAAUUGCAUUGGAGACUGCAAGGCUAGAAUCUGGCAGAGGGGGGUAGAAUUCCACGUGUAGCAGUGAAAUGCGUAGAUAUGUGGAGGAACACCGAUGGCGAAGGCAGCCCCCUGGGUCAAGAUUGACGCUCAUGCACGAAAGCGUGGGGAGCAAACAGGAUUAGAUACCCGAGUAGUCCCA